This is a non-coding RNA of Trichobilharzia regenti, 49 nucleotides long. The record is from Rfam. NCBI's taxonomy places the organism in Eukaryota, Metazoa, Platyhelminthes, Trematoda, Strigeidida, Schistosomatidae.
GUACUGCUGAGGAGUCCCAAACUAGGGGGACGAAACAGCUGUCCAGUAC